This 203-nucleotide long non-coding RNA is filed under the name Elaeis guineensis (African oil palm). Its description in RNAcentral is "long non-coding RNA (EGUI_LNC009217)". The record is from RNAcentral. Lineage: Eukaryota; Viridiplantae; Streptophyta; Magnoliopsida; Arecales; Arecaceae.
GUGGGAUGCUCCAUUCUGGGUGAGCUACAUAACGGUUAGUUUUUAACCUAUUUUUGAUGCAUUUAAUGUGUAUUAAACAUACUCCAAUGCCUCUAAACCAACUCUAAGAUAUUCUCAAGGAUAAAUGGCAACUAUAAAUACUCUAUUCAAGUGAAAAAUCAUAAGGUUUUUACAAACUCAAAGAUUAAAUCUGAGAAAAAUCA